GUAGGGAGGGUUUAAGACUUUUGUUGAGUGCUUCCUUCUACUAAAAUAUUUUUUGUCAAGAAUACUUCUCUGCUCAUUCCCUAAUGCCAUUUUUCUUUUUUUCAAGACAGUCAUUUUUUUCCUUUCCCUCCACUGAGAAAGAAUCGAUAACAUCCUAAGGAGCUCAUCUCAGGCUGGUAUCCAGUGACAAACCCUACUUCACAUUGUUUUCUGCAGUAUCAUUUACCUCACUCCCACCCAGCAGUUAGUUGUUCUCUCUUAAGUGUUCCUAAAGUUAUUUUUGGGAAAUUACAUGAGUUUAACAUUUUUUUCAUUGUGCUUUUCUUGCUUGUUUCUAUCACUGGAUCACAGGCAUAUUGGGAUCAGGAACUGCUUUCCUCAUUAUGAUACCCCUGCAUGGAACAGCACCUGGAGAGUAGGUGUUCAAUAAAUCCUCACUUAGAGGUUGAGUACCUACUAUGUACAAGCACCAUGCUUGGACUUCUCAGCGUGUCUUGCUGAACUAGACACAUCUGCUGUCUUUGUUUGUUCAAGCUGCUUUAACAAAAGACCAAAGAGUGGGUAAUUUAUAAAGAACAGAAAUUUCGAGCUUACAGUCCUGGGGUCUGGGAGGUUAAUGACCAAGGCACUAACAGGUUCAGUGUUUGGUGAGGGCAUAGUCUCUACUUCCAAGAUGGCACCUUGUUGCUGCAUUCUCCAGAGGGGAUGAACACUGCUUCUCAUAUGGGAAGAGAUGGAAGGGCAAAAAUGGACCUAUCUAGUUACUCCCAUCCCUUUUAUAAGGUCACUAACCCAUUUAUAAAGUUAUAUGGUUUGGAAGUCCCACCCAAAUCUCAUAUUGAAAUGUAAUCCCCAGUGUUGGAGGUGGGGCCUGGUGGGUGGUGACUGGAUUAUGGGGAUGGUUUUCUCAUGAAUGGUUUAGUACCAUCCUCUUGGUACUGUCCUUGAGAUAGUGAGUUCUCACGAGAUCUGGUCCUUUAAAAGCGUAUGGCACCUCCCGCCUCACUGUCUUGCUCCUGCUCCCACCAUGUGAGACGCCUGCUCCCCCGUGAACUCCCACCAUGACUGUAAGCUUCCUGAGGCCUACCCAGAAAUAGAUGCCCGUGUUAUGCUUCCUGUACAGUGUGCAGAACCAUGAGCUAAUUAAACAUCUUUUCUUUAUAAAUUACUCAGUCUCCAGUGUUUCUUU
RNAcentral lists this long non-coding RNA (1189 nucleotides) under Homo sapiens (human). RNAcentral describes it as "non-protein coding lnc-APCS-1:2". Lineage: Eukaryota; Metazoa; Chordata; Mammalia; Primates; Hominidae. The record is from RNAcentral.